Molecule: long non-coding RNA, 519 nt
Filed under: Sus scrofa (pig)
Lineage: Eukaryota; Metazoa; Chordata; Mammalia; Artiodactyla; Suidae
Description: lncRNA (ENSSSCG00015068012.1)
Source: RNAcentral
GGAAGCGUUGGGAAAUCGAAGGAGGCAUGCGAUGCAUGAGAAAGACUUUCACUUCUGUUCCCUCUUCCUGGCUCCCCGGACCAAACAUGCACCCCCUUUCCUGUGUUCUCCCUGCCGUCCGCCUGGCCUCACCCUGUCCGCGGUAGAUGAGAAGACGGAAGCCCAGAAAGGCACACUGAUUCUCCAACAUCACACAGCUAAACAGCAGCUCUCUGAUCUCCUUGAGCCCACCAGGCAGCCCUCUGAUGCGUUAAAAGGACACAGCCUGGAGAAGGAUGCACCCCAAAUAACGAUCAGGGCAUGUGGAAAUUCCCAGUCCAAGCAACUCAAGCUGCUGCAGGGACAAUGCCAGAUCCUUAACCCUCUGCACCACAAGGGAACUCCUUAAAUUUCUUAAAAUAAGCAGGAAAAACUUCUAUACGUAAAUUCUUUUUUUUUUCUUUUUUUGCUUUUUAGGGCCACACCCGAGGCAUGUGGAGGUUCCCAGGCUAGGGGUCCAAUUGGAGCUACAGCUGCUGG